RNAcentral lists this ribosomal RNA (439 nucleotides) under uncultured bacterium. RNAcentral's name for it is "partial 16S ribosomal RNA". It matches the Rfam family "Bacterial small subunit ribosomal RNA", at positions 339 to 795 of the family's 1533-position model. The record is from RNAcentral.
CUACGGGCCGCACCAGUGAGGAAUAUUGCACAAUGGGGGGAACCCUGAUGCAGCAACGCCGCGUGGAGGAUGACGCAUUUCGGUGUGUAAACUCCUUUUAUAUGUCAAGAAAAUGACGGUAGCAUAUGAAUAAGCACCGGCUAACUCCGUGCCAGCAGCCGCGGUAAUACGGAGGGUGCAAGCGUUACUCGGAAUCACUGGGCGUAAAGGACGCGUAGGCGGGUUGGAAAGUCAGGUGUGAAAGCCUACAGCUUAACUGUAGGACUGCACUUGAAACUUCUAAUCUAGAGUAUGGGAGGGGGAGAUGGAAUUAGUGGUGUAGGGGUAAAAUCCGUAGAUAUCACUAGGAAUACCUAAAGCGAAGGCGAUCUCCUGGAACAUUACUGACGCUAAGGCGUGAAAGCGUGGGGAGCAAACAGGAUUAGAUACCCCAGUAGUC